Molecule: small RNA, 92 nt
Filed under: Salmonella enterica
Lineage: Bacteria; Pseudomonadati; Pseudomonadota; Gammaproteobacteria; Enterobacterales; Enterobacteriaceae
Description: partial RtT sRNA
Rfam family: RtT RNA
About the family: This family represents a bacterial cis-regulatory element known as RtT RNA. The exact function of RtT is unknown although it is thought that it may be involved in changing the cellular response in relation to amino acid starvation.
Source: RNAcentral
UAUCUCUCCGUACGGGGAAGGAUGAGAAGCUUCGACUAAGGUUCGAUUCGAGCGCAGCGAGAAAGCGUUGCCGCAGGCAACGACCCGAAGGG